CGUAGGCGGCCUUCUAAGUCGAACGUGAAAUCCCCGGGCUCAACCCGGGAACUGCGUCCGAUACUGGAAGGCUUGAAUCCGGGAGAGGGAUGCGGAAUUCCAGGUGUAGCGGUGAAAUGCGUAGAUAUCUGGAGGAACACCGGUGGCGAAGGCGGCAUCCUGGACCGGUAUUGACGCUGAGGCGCGAAAGCCAGGGGAGCAAACG
RNAcentral lists this ribosomal RNA (205 nucleotides) under uncultured bacterium. Its description in RNAcentral is "partial 16S ribosomal RNA". It matches the Rfam family "Bacterial small subunit ribosomal RNA", at positions 570 to 774 of the family's 1533-position model. The record is from RNAcentral.